UACGUAGGCAGCAAGCGUUGUUCGGAAUUAUUGGGCGUAAAGAGUGUGUAGGCGGUGCUCUAAGUUUGGUGUGAAAUCUCCCGGCUUAACUGGGAGGGUGCGCCGAAAACUGGAGUGCUUGAGUAUGGGAGAGGUAAGCGGAAUUCCUGGUGUAGCGGUGAAAUGCGUAGAUAUCUGGAGGAAUACCGGUGGCGAAGGCGGCAUCCUGGACCAUAACUGACGCUGAGGCGCGAAAGCUAGGGGAGCAAACGGG
RNAcentral lists this ribosomal RNA (253 nucleotides) under uncultured bacterium. Its description in RNAcentral is "partial 16S ribosomal RNA". It matches the Rfam family "Bacterial small subunit ribosomal RNA", at positions 524 to 776 of the family's 1533-position model. The record is from RNAcentral.